Vicia villosa (hairy vetch) is the source of this 2284-nucleotide long non-coding RNA. RefSeq lists it as uncharacterized. Lineage: Eukaryota; Viridiplantae; Streptophyta; Magnoliopsida; Fabales; Fabaceae. The transcript is spliced from 2 exons. The record is from RefSeq and is a predicted model, not a curated record.
ACAUUUUCUAACCCUUAUUCACAACAUUUUCUAACCCUUAUUCACAACAUUUUCUAACCCUUAUUCUCACACCCUCUCUCCCUAUUCUCACAAACACAAGAACACUUCAUAGCUUGUUGAAGAACAACAAGAACACUUUCAAAAAGAAACUCAAGAACUUACAUCUUCCUCUCACGGUAGAACCGAGACGCACCUCUUUCCUCCACAAACCGCCAUCCAAGCCCUCAGGUACCUCCAUGAAGCACACACACCAAAUCAGAGCUAAGUUAUUUUUCAAAUUUCUUUUUUUUUAUUUUUUAUUACAUAAACUCCUUUCCUUUUUUCUUCUUUUUUAAUAUAAUUUCUUUUUUACUUAUUUUGUUUAAAACAAAUUAUUUUUAUUAGCCAUCUAUAUUAUUUAAUCGAAAACUCGUUUUUUCGUAAUAUCAAUUUUUUUUCAAUAAUAAUUUAAUUAAGGUUUUUAGUUAAUAAUUAUUUUUGGGGCUAAUUAAAUGUUUUUAUGUCUUAAAACCCUGAUUUCUUCAUGAUCAUUAAUCACUGUUAGGUAGAUGUUGUCCAUUAACUUAGUAUCUUUGUAAUGGUUGGGGAUUGUAAUGCACUAACAUUUUUCUUCUUUGUGCCCAAUUCUUUCAGGGUUAGCAACAGGAUUUUACCUCCGACUACCAACCACACAGAAUUCCAGCUAAGUAUUUUUUUUAAUAAUAAUUUUUAUUAUUUUUAUGCAUCAACAAUUUUGCUUAUUUUCUUUUCCUUUCUUUUUUUUUAUUAUUAUUAUAACUCUUUUAUUUAUAUUUUUAUAAAAUAAUUUCUAUAGUAAAUUUUAAUCAUUAAUAUUUAACCGAAAACCUGAUUUUUCACAAAUAAUUGUUUUCUCUAUAUAUAUUAAAAUUCGAAUAUACUUUUAAUUAAUUGAUAAAUUAGGAUUAACCUUUAUGUUUAUUUUAACCCUUGUUCUAUUUAAUUGAUUUCUUAGCCUUUUCAUUAACCUUUCAAGGUUUCCGUAACAUCAUUUAUUUUUUAUUAUUAUUUGUCUUUUGGGUCACAAUAAAUUUUCUUUUAUUUUUUUUAAUCCAUUAAGGGUUGUAGAUCCUUCAUACACUAAAAUUAUUUUCUUUUAUGCAAAUUUUCAGGGUUAAUCAGUAUCCUCCGACUACGCGCCAUGGCAAUUGAAAAGCUAAGUUCCCAAUCCUUGUUUUAUUUUAUUUAAAUAUUAUUUUCUUUUUUCCUUUUGCCCAAAAUAGGGUUUGCUUCGAAUAGUCAAUACACUCACCCCUUAUUUAUUUUCCUCUUAAUUUGCAGAGUCAACCAAGGGUUUGAGGAAGAUCAAGGCAUUCAAUAUACACAAAUUAAUUAUUGCCCUCUAUUAUUUUCUGCUUUUCCCCUUUCCCGCAGGUGUUUAUUGUAAUAGCGUAGGAAUUUUAUUUUCUGCUUUUAUUUUAUUUUAACUGCGUGGUUAGUAAAAUAGGGAGUGCAAGAUUAUGAAUUGAACGUAGAUCACCUAACUACAAGAUAAAUGUCAUCGAAGUUAACACAUGAUUGUUGCACCCACACACCUUUAGGGUAACCCCUCUUGUUGCCUUAUACUGUUGUCUGCCUAUAUUGUUGCCUAUGCCUUAAUUAUUGUUGCCUUUAAAUAGUCAAGUCCCUCGAUCCCGAGGAUACCUAAAGCAAACGUUGCCUUCAAAGUUAUUGAAACUCCCUCGAUGUUGCCUUAUAAAAACAACUGUCCCAAUUGCUAAGGUAUCCUCGCCUGUUGCCUAAAGAUUAAAUGACUAUUAUAUCCUUCCCUUAGACUACCUGCCCUCGUUAUGGCAAGGGACAGUCUUAUGGCGAACGAUACUCUCGAUGACCCUUAACAUCCAAUUGAAAGACUUCCUACCCUCUUAUGGUAUGGAUAGACUCUUUCGCCCGAAAGGCUAAAAGAACGAUUUUUUUCUAAACUUAGGGUAAGUAGCUUUUAAAUUGCUUGCUCAAUUCAAACUUAAAAUUCAAAAUCUUUUUCCCACUCUUUUCAAAAUCAAAAAGACUACGCUUAUUUACAAGCUAAAGUUCUUCUUCAAAGUUUUUACUUUUCACACCUCCUUUGAAACAAUUCAAACAAAAUGAGCUAAGCAAUUAAGAGCCCAUGGAUAACCAUGGAUGCAAAGGGUGCCUUACACCUUCCCUUUGCAUAAUUUACCCCCCGAACUCAAAAUCUUUUAAAAGGUCUUUUCCUGUUCUUUUAGCCUUUCCUAAUUGGAUAAAAUAAAAGUCGGUGGCGACUCAUGCUUACCGCGACAUUUUC